Molecule: ribosomal RNA, 510 nt
Filed under: uncultured bacterium
Lineage: Bacteria
Description: partial 16S ribosomal RNA
Rfam family: Bacterial small subunit ribosomal RNA
Source: RNAcentral
GACGAACGCUGGCGGCGUGCUUAACACAUGCAAGUCGAACGAAGAGCGAUGGAAGCUUGCUUCUAUCAAUCUUAGUGGCGACCGGGUGAGUAACGCGUAAUCAACCUGCCCUUCAGAGGGGGACAACAGUUGGAAACGACUGCUAAUACCGCAUACGAUCUAAUCUCGGCAUCGAGGAUAGAUGAAAGGUGGCCUCUACAUGUAAGCUAUCACUGCAGGAGGGGAUUGCGUCUGAUUAGCUAGUUGGAGGGGUAACGGCCCACCAAGGCGAUGAUCAGUAGCCGGUCGGAGAGGAUGAACAGCCACAUUGGGACUGAGACACGGCCCAGACUCCUACGGGAGGCAGCAGUGGGGAAUCUUCCGCAAUGGACGAAAGUCUGACGGAGCAACGCCGCGUGAGUGAGGACGGCCUUCGGGUUGUAAAGCUCUGUUAAUCGGGACGAAAGGCCUUCUUGCGAAUAGGGAGAAGGAUUGACGGUACCGGAAUAGAAAGCCACGGCUAACUACGUG